This 423-nucleotide ribosomal RNA is filed under the name uncultured bacterium. RNAcentral describes it as "partial 16S ribosomal RNA". It matches the Rfam family "Bacterial small subunit ribosomal RNA", at positions 359 to 774 of the family's 1533-position model. The record is from RNAcentral.
GAAUCUUCCACAAUGGACGAAAGUCUGAUGGAGCAAUGCUGCGUGAGUGAAGAAGGUUUUCGGAGCGUAAAACUCUGUUGUGAGGGAAGAACAAGUAUGAGAGUAACUGCUCGUACCUUGACGGUACCUCAUGAGAAGGCCACGUCUACUUACUUCCCAGCAGCCGCGGUAAUCCGUAGGUGGCAAGCGUUGUCCGGAAUUAUUGGGCGUAAAGCGCGCGCAGGCGGUGCUUUAAGUCUAAUGUGAAAUCCCACGGCUCAACCGUGGAAGGUCAUUGGAAACUGGGGGACUUGAGUACAGAAGAGGAAAGCGGAAUUCCAAGUGUAGCGGUGAAAUGCGUAGAGAUUUGGAGGAACACCAGUGGCGAAGGCGGCUUUCUGGUCUGUAACUGACGCUGAGGCGCGAAAGCGUGGGGAGCAAACA